Molecule: long non-coding RNA, 452 nt
Organism: Cervus elaphus (red deer)
Lineage: Eukaryota; Metazoa; Chordata; Mammalia; Artiodactyla; Cervidae
Exons: 4
Source: RefSeq, a predicted model, not a curated record
CUCGGACCCUCCCUGGGACGCGGUGGGCCGGACGACUGGAGGAGGAGAGGAGGAAAGGGCCGAGCGCUCCUCACAGUCCUUUCGAGGGCCGCAGCCCAAGGGCCCUUCUGCUCAGGAAUGAAGCCGAGGAUGGGCAGCAUCUCGGGGCUGCUUCAGACUCUGCAGAUGACUUGGCUUAGAGGACCUGUGGGAUGUGCGGAGAAGGAGAACCGGGGGAGAGGAGAUCGGUGGUGUUUUAGACACUGCUCCAUCAGUCUGGGUGAAGAAAGGAGCAUGUGGAGAAGAACUUGAGCCACCCAGGUUGGACAUGGCGCACAAGGGAGUCUCUGCCUUUACUGGGCGGACUUCUCAGUUGCUGGUGUCCUGAGACAAUGUGACUUCCAUGCUACAAGAGCCUGGCCUGAGUUGUUCAUCACUGUACCCUGAAUGCUGAACACAGGGACCCAGCUACC